This 2596-nucleotide long non-coding RNA is filed under the name Sus scrofa (pig). RNAcentral's name for it is "lncRNA (ENSSSCG00045015479.1)". The record is from RNAcentral. Lineage: Eukaryota; Metazoa; Chordata; Mammalia; Artiodactyla; Suidae.
ACAGAAAAAUGCAUCGGUACAGAGUACAUUUCAAAAAAAUUACAUAGACUGAUGUUUCAGACUUGUGCAGAAUGUUUCACCGUCACUAACUGGAUAUUCCUCGCAACAUUGCUGUCUGAUUCUUUUCCCACAUAUUUUAUCACAGAACAUUGUGUAGAGUUCCCCGUGCUAUAUAGCAAGUCCUUGUCAGCCAAUCAUCCAUAUACCACAGUGCGUAUAUGCCAAUCCCGAACCCCUAAUCCAUCCCUCCCUCUCCCAGUUGUCCCCGUUGGCAAACAUAAUGUUGUUUUCAAGUCUGUGAGUCUGUUUCUGUUCUGCAAAUAAGUUCAUUUGUAUCCUUUUUUAAUUUCAAUUUUUAUUUUUGUCUUUUUAGGGCCACACCCACAGCAUACGGAGGUUCCCAGGCUAGGGGUUGAAUCAGAGCAGUAGCUGCUGGCCUAUGCCACAGUCACCCAAUGCCAGGUCUGAACCGCGUCUGUGACCUACACCAUAGCUCAUGGCAAUGUCAGGUCCUUAACCCACUGAGCGAGGCCAGGGAUCAGACCUGCUAGAUGCUAGCCAGAUUCGUUUCCACUGAGCCACGAUGGGAACUCCUGUAUCUGUUUUUUAGAUUCCACAUAUAAGUGAUAUCAUAUGAUGUUUGGCAUUACAUUUUAAAUAAUUCAGCAUAAUUGAACCAUUUAAUGACAGAAUUUCAGGAAGCUUUCUUUUACUCAAAGUCCCUCCUUUUGAAAUUAUCAAUUCAAUACAACUUAAAGCAUACACAAGAAGUAAUGAUUCUGCAAAGUAUACCUGAAGACUACUGACUUUAGAAUUAUCCACCUAAACCCUUAAGUAGAUAUCUCUUAAAAUCGCUGACAAAAUACCACCCAUACCUUCAGUGUGGAGGUGAAAGAAGUAUUGACAACAUCUGCUAGCGGAUUGAAGAGUUUGUUACGUAGCAAUGGUGAUGCUUUCUUGAUGUCCUUAAACUUUUUCUUUCCUUAAGAUAGUAGGCUUGGUUAUGUGUGAGUUCUAUGUGUGCAUUUUCAACUCUUUUUUUAAAGAAUAAAAACAGUUUUCAGAAUAGUGCUGAUAUUAGUUGAUGAUGCCAAGGCACCAAUGAAGAGUGUAUUUUUAAAAUUGAAUAUGUUCUUAUUUUCUUAUUUGUUGAUUUUAAAGGUAAUCUAAACAUGUGAAGAAAAAAAAUCAAAUUUUGCCAAUUUGAAAAGAACAAAAACAGCUAAAACCUUCUUUUAAAAUUUCUAAGCUAUUAUGAGAAUAUUACAGACAAAAGAUUGUACAUGAAAGAAUUUUUUAAAAUCAGGUUGCUUUGCCUUUCUUUAGUCACUUCAAAAGUCUUUGUCAGAUAUGAAAAAGAAAUAUCCUCAAAAUGAAGAGUAAACAUAAUUAAAAUGGUUCCUUGCCUUGACAUAUAAGCUUCUUAAUCGGCAAAAAUCUGUAUAAAUUUAAUACUAUGAAACUUGGUUUUAAAAGAAGGAAUAAGAAAGAGUAGGCAGGGAGGGAAAGGGAGAAAGAAGUUUGAUUUUUACAAGAGUUGACAUAGAAAAUGAUGGUAAGUGAAAUUAUAUUAAAUCCUUAAUUGCUUUUGAUGAGAAAAUUUUAGACCCAUAGUAUUUUCUUUUUAUUGCCGGUAUUUGGCAUGUACCUUAGCACACACAGUAAUCUCUUUUUAAUAGUGAACUAAUGAAUGAAUGAUAUUGGAUAGGCUGCAUUAAUUUGCUUUAAACACAGUUUUCUGUUAACAGCAAUAAUUAAAAAUUCAAUUGAUUCAUUAUCAGGACCAAAUAUUUAUUGAACACUUACCUUAGCAUUCAUUCUUUACCAGGUGGUAUAGAAUUGUGGUUAAAGGUUCACACUUCUUAAAUACUUAGCUGUGGGACUUCCAUGAGCCUCGGUUUUCUCCUGUGUAAAGGGAAGAUUUUGAAAGUCCCUAGUUCAGAGAACUGGGGAGAAUUACAUGAGAUAAUGCUAUAAUGCCAUUGGCAGAGUUCCUGGCAGAUGGUAAGUACUCACUAAAUUUUGAUAUUGGUAUAAGUAUUAUAUUACUUAUAAUAUGAUAAAUAAAUAUAUUACCUGAUAGAAUUGUUAUGAAGAUUUAAUGAGUUAAUACAGGUUAUUUCCCUGGUGCCUAGAACAUCUAGGAUUUCAAAAACAUGUAUUAAGCAAUUGUAAAGCCCACACAAAACAAAACAUAUUGAUAAUUUCUCUGAAAAGAAAUACAGUCUAAUUGGAGAAGGGGAUCAUAUAUAUUAAGAGAUAAAAUUCAGUAAUUUAUUAAGCAUUGACCAUCCUUUGAGCUUUAAUGUGGUUAUCCAAUUUAACCUUCAGGAGUUCCCGUUGUGGCGCAGUAGUUAAUGGAUCCGACUAGGGACCAUGAGGUUGCGGGUUCAAUCCCUGGCCUUGCUUAGUGGGUUGAGGAUCAGGCGUUGCCAUGAGCUGUGGUGUAGGUUGCUGACACAUCUCGGAUCCCGCGUUGCUGUGGCUCUGGUGUAGGCGGGUGGCUACAGCUCCGAUUGGACCCCUAGCCUGGGAAUCUCCAUAUGCUGCGAGCGGCCCUAGAAAAAGACAAAAACAGACCAAAAAAAAACAAAAA